UAUUAUAGCAUUUCUAUUGUCGCCACACCU
RNAcentral lists this non-coding RNA (30 nucleotides) under Rattus norvegicus (Norway rat). Lineage: Eukaryota; Metazoa; Chordata; Mammalia; Rodentia; Muridae. The record is from RNAcentral.